This 267-nucleotide long non-coding RNA is filed under the name Lathyrus oleraceus (garden pea). RNAcentral describes it as "Pisum sativum (pea) long non-coding RNA (PSAT_LNC019999)". Lineage: Eukaryota; Viridiplantae; Streptophyta; Magnoliopsida; Fabales; Fabaceae. The record is from RNAcentral.
UUCUCUUAAUAUGUUUUUAAUAAUAUAGCUUAUGAUUUGUUUAAAUAAAGGAGAGUAUUUCAAAAUUAUUUUAUUUUCUAAAUAUAUUUGAUUUCUUAAUUUAUAUUAUAUAUUUAAUACAAUUGUUUCAAAUGACUCCUGCAUUAAAAUAUUGAAGUUAUAAUAUUAAAUGAGUAAUUAAUUGGUAAUUAAAGAUGGAAGAAUUUUUUCAUGUUAUAAAAAUAUUAAAACAAAAUAAAAUAUUUUCAAAUUAACUUUAGAAUUCAG